RNAcentral lists this ribosomal RNA (449 nucleotides) under uncultured bacterium. Its description in RNAcentral is "SSU rRNA". It matches the Rfam family "Bacterial small subunit ribosomal RNA", at positions 28 to 470 of the family's 1533-position model. The record is from RNAcentral.
GACGAACGCUGGCGGCGUGCCUAACACAUGCAAGUCGAAGCGGAAUGAAGUUCCUUUCGGGAACGGAUUUUAGCGGCGGACGGGUGAGUAACACGUGGGCAACCUGCCUCAUAGAGGGGAAUAGCCUUCCGAAAGGGAGAUUAAUACCGCAUAAGAUUGUAGUACCGCAUGGUACAGCAAUUAAAGGAGCAAUCCGCUAUGAGAUGGGCCCGCGGCGCAUUAGCUAGUUGGUGAGGUAACGGCUCACCAAGGCGACGAUGCGUAGCCGACCUGAGAGGGUGAUCGGCCACAUUGGGACUGAGACACGGCCCAGACUCCUACGGGAGGCAGCAGUAGGGAAUUUUCGGCAAUGGGGGCAACCCUGACCGAGCAACGCCGCGUGAGUGAAGAAGGUUUUCGGAUCGUAAAGCUCUGUUGUAAGAGAAGAACGUGUGUGAGAGUGGAAAGUU